RNAcentral lists this ribosomal RNA (1191 nucleotides) under Campylobacter jejuni. RNAcentral describes it as "bacterial SSU rRNA". It matches the Rfam family "Bacterial small subunit ribosomal RNA", at positions 325 to 1533 of the family's 1533-position model. The record is from RNAcentral. Lineage: Bacteria; Pseudomonadati; Campylobacterota; Epsilonproteobacteria; Campylobacterales; Campylobacteraceae.
CACGGUCCAGACUCCUACGGGAGGCAGCAGUAGGGAAUAUUGCGCAAUGGGGGAAACCCUGACGCAGCAACGCCGCGUGGAGGAUGACACUUUUCGGAGCGUAAACUCCUUUUCUUAGGGAAGAAUUCUGACGGUACCUAAGGAAUAAGCACCGGCUAACUCCGUGCCAGCAGCCGCGGUAAUACGGAGGGUGCAAGCGUUACUCGGAAUCACUGGGCGUAAAGGGCGCGUAGGCGGAUUAUCAAGUCUCUUGUGAAAUCUAAUGGCUUAACCAUUAAACUGCUUGGGAAACUGAUAGUCUAGAGUGAGGGAGAGGCAGAUGGAAUUGGUGGUGUAGGGGUAAAAUCCGUAGAUAUCACCAAGAAUACCCAUUGCGAAGGCGAUCUGCUGGAACUCAACUGACGCUAAGGCGCGAAAGCGUGGGGAGCAAACAGGAUUAGAUACCCUGGUAGUCCACGCCCUAAACGAUGUACACUAGUUGUUGGGAUGCUAGUCAUCUCAGUAAUGCAGCUAACGCAUUAAGUGUACCGCCUGGGGAGUACGGUCGCAAGAUUAAAACUCAAAGGAAUAGACGGGGACCCGCACAAGCGGUGGAGCAUGUGGUUUAAUUCGAAGAUACGCGAAGAACCUUACCUGGGCUUGAUAUCCUAAGAACCUUAUAGAGAUAUGAGGGUGCUAGCUUGCUAGAACUUAGAGACAGGUGCUGCACGGCUGUCGUCAGCUCGUGUCGUGAGAUGUUGGGUUAAGUCCCGCAACGAGCGCAACCCACGUAUUUAGUUGCUAACGGUUCGGCCGAGCACUCUAAAUAGACUGCCUUCGUAAGGAGGAGGAAGGUGUGGACGACGUCAAGUCAUCAUGGCCCUUAUGCCCAGGGCGACACACGUGCUACAAUGGCAUAUACAAUGAGACGCAAUACCGCGAGGUGGAGCAAAUCUAUAAAAUAUGUCCCAGUUCGGAUUGUUCUCUGCAACUCGAGAGCAUGAAGCCGGAAUCGCUAGUAAUCGUAGAUCAGCCAUGCUACGGUGAAUACGUUCCCGGGUCUUGUACUCACCGCCCGUCACACCAUGGGAGUUGAUUUCACUCGAAGCCGGAAUACUAAACUAGUUACCGUCCACAGUGGAAUCAGCGACUGGGGUGAAGUCGUAACAAGGUAACCGUAGGAGAACCUGCGGUUGGAUCACCUCCUUUCUA